CCUACGGGGGGCAGCAGUGGGGAAUAUUGGACAAUGGGCGAAAGCCUGAUCCAGCCAUGCCGCGUGUGUGAAGAAGGCCUUCGGGUUGUAAAGCACUUUCAGUGGGGAAGAAAGCCUUGGGGCUAAUACCCUCGAGGAAGGACAUCACCCACAGAAGAAGCACCGGCUAACUCCGUGCCAGCAGCCGCGGUAAUACGGAGGGUGCGAGCGUUAAUCGGAAUUACUGGGCGUAAAGCGCGCGUAGGCGGUCUGAUAAGCCGGUUGUGAAAGCCCCGGGCUCAACCUGGGAACGGCAUCCGGAACUGUCAGGCUAGAGAGCAGGAGAGGAAGGUAGAAUUCCCGGUGUAGCGGUGAAAUGCGUAGAGAUCGGGAGGAAUACCAGUGGCGAAGGCGGCCUUCUGGACUGACACUGACGCUGAGGUGCGAAAGCGUGGGUAGCAAACAGGAUUAGAUACCCGAGUAGUC
Molecule: ribosomal RNA, 465 nt
Filed under: Vreelandella stevensii
Lineage: Bacteria; Pseudomonadati; Pseudomonadota; Gammaproteobacteria; Oceanospirillales; Halomonadaceae
Description: partial 16S ribosomal RNA
Rfam family: Bacterial small subunit ribosomal RNA
Source: RNAcentral